Molecule: long non-coding RNA, 505 nt
Organism: Bubalus bubalis (water buffalo)
Lineage: Eukaryota; Metazoa; Chordata; Mammalia; Artiodactyla; Bovidae
Exons: 2
Source: RefSeq, a predicted model, not a curated record
ACGCUUCUGUUGUUUUUGGAGCAGAGCUGCCAGGUGAACGAACCUGAAGGAUGUGAGGCUCAGAGGAGACAGACUCAGCUCUGCUGCCUGAGGCCUCGACCCCGGAGGACGGCCAGCCCAGCCCAGAGGACAGCCUGGUCCACACACAGACAUAUGAGGAAGACGGAAUCACGACAUCUCAGAAACACAGGAAUGGCCACACGGCCCAGACCUACUCCUGAAGCCCACGAUGCCUGGCCCGUGGCUGGUGUGCAAAGACCAGCAUCCUCACAUUCCUAUGCGUGUGGACAAGGCAGGUCUCCUGCCCUGUGAAGGCUGGACGCAGAAGUCCGCUGGCACGCGAGCUGGAGGAGGGUGGUGUCUCGGCUCCUGGGCUGGAUGUGUGUGCUUCCCUGAGCUGUAGUCCCUGCAAAUGUCAUCCCAGGUCCCGGGAUCAGAGGUGGCCUCCUCAGUGCAGGAAAGACACAGCCUAAACAAGUUUUAGAAUGUGCCAAACUCGCACUUU